RNAcentral lists this ribosomal RNA (534 nucleotides) under Streptomyces sp. SAUK6023. Its description in RNAcentral is "bacterial SSU rRNA". It matches the Rfam family "Bacterial small subunit ribosomal RNA", at positions 126 to 674 of the family's 1533-position model. The record is from RNAcentral. Lineage: Bacteria; Bacillati; Actinomycetota; Actinomycetes; Kitasatosporales; Streptomycetaceae.
CUGCCCUGCACUCUGGGACAAGCCCUGGAAACGGGGUCUAAUACCGGAUACGACCACUGAGGGCAUCCUCGGUGGUGGAAAGCUCCGGCGGUGCAGGAUGAGCCCGCGGCCUAUCAGCUUGUUGGUGGGGUGAUGGCCUACCAAGGCGACGACGGGUAGCCGGCCUGAGAGGGCGACCGGCCACACUGGGACUGAGACACGGCCCAGACUCCUACGGGAGGCAGCAGUGGGGAAUAUUGCACAAUGGGCGAAAGCCUGAUGCAGCGACGCCGCGUGAGGGAUGACGGCCUUCGGGUUGUAAACCUCUUUCAGCAGGGAAGAAGCGAAAGUGACGGUACCUGCAGAAGAAGCGCCGGCUAACUACGUGCCAGCAGCCGCGGUAAUACGUAGGGCGCGAGCGUUGUCCGGAAUUAUUGGGCGUAAAGAGCUCGUAGGCGGCUUGUCACGUCGGUUGUGAAAGCCCGGGGCUUAACCCCGGGUCUGCAGUCGAUACGGGCAGGCUAGAGUUCGGUAGGGGAGAUCGGAAUUCCUGGU